UUGUUUUUUAGACUUAGUGUUGUCUAAGGGAAUUUAAUCCAGGUGGAUUAAGGUUUGUUUACAAACAGGUUCAAAGAAGCAUAGGUGCUUAAGGAGUGCAUUGGUGCACAAGGGGAAAGAGUGCUCAAGUGAAUUAUUGUAAUUCAAUUUUUAUAGAAUCUGUGUUGUAACAAGAGUCUUUUAAAGAAAUAAAAGUGAG
This 199-nucleotide long non-coding RNA is filed under the name Panax ginseng (ginseng). Its description in RNAcentral is "long non-coding RNA (PGIN_LNC009521)". The record is from RNAcentral. Lineage: Eukaryota; Viridiplantae; Streptophyta; Magnoliopsida; Apiales; Araliaceae.